RNAcentral lists this ribosomal RNA (491 nucleotides) under uncultured bacterium. Its description in RNAcentral is "partial 16S ribosomal RNA". It matches the Rfam family "Bacterial small subunit ribosomal RNA", at positions 29 to 506 of the family's 1533-position model. The record is from RNAcentral.
AGUGAACGCUGGCGGUAGGCCUAACACAUGCAAGUCGAACGGCAGCACAGUAAGAGCUUGCUCUUACGGGUGGCGAGUGGCGGGCGGGUGAGGAAUACAUCGGAAUCUACUUUUUCGUGGGGGAUAACGUAGGGAAACGUACGCUAAUACCGCAUACGACCUACGGGUGAAAGCAGGGGAUCUUCGGACCUUGCGCGAUUGAAUGAGCCGAUGUCGGAUUAGCUAGUUGGCGGGGUAAAGGCCCACCAAGGCGACGAUCCGUAGCUGGUCUGAGAGGAUGAUCAGCCACACUUGAACUGAGACACGGUCCAGACUCCUACGGGAGGCAGCAGUGGGGAAUAUUGGACAAUGGGCGCAAGCCUGAUCCAGCCAUACCGCGUGGGUGAAGAAGGCCUUCGGGUUGUAAAGCCCUUUUGUUGGGAAAGAAAAGCAGCAGGUUAAUACCCCGCUGUUCUGACGGUACCCAAAGAAUAAGCACCGGCUAACUUCGU